UCAUAACGAACGCUGGCGGCAGGCCUAACACAUGCAAGUUCGAACGCCCCGCAAGGGGAGUGGCAGACGGGUGAGUAACGCGUGGGAACAUACCCUUCGGUUCGGAAUAGCUCAGGGAAACUUGGAUUAAUACCGGAUACGUCCGCAAGGAGAAAGAUUUAUCGCCGAAGGAUUGGCCCGCGUCUGAUUAGCUAGUUGGUGAGGUAAUGGCCCACCAAGGCGACGAUCAGUAGCUGGUCUGAGAGGAUGAUCAGCCACAUUGGGACUGAGACACGGCCCAAACUCCUACGGGAGGCAGCAGUGGGGAAUAUUGGACAAUGGGCGAAAGCCUGAUCCAGCCAUGCCGCGUGAGUGAUGAAGGCCUUAGGGUUGUAAAGCUCUUUUACCUGGGAAGAUAAUGACGGUACCAGGAGAAUAAGCCCCGGCUAACUUCGUGCCAGCAGCCGCGGUAAUACGAAGGGGGCUAGCGUUGUUCGGAUUUACUGGGCCGUAAAGCGCACGUAGGCGGAUUCUUAAGUCAGGGGUGAAAUCCCGGGGCUCAACCUCGGAACUGCCUUUGAUACUGGGAAUCUUGAGUUCGGGAGAGGUGAGUGGAACUGCGAG
This 603-nucleotide ribosomal RNA is filed under the name uncultured bacterium. RNAcentral's name for it is "bacterial SSU rRNA". It matches the Rfam family "Bacterial small subunit ribosomal RNA", at positions 24 to 673 of the family's 1533-position model. The record is from RNAcentral.